UCCCUACGGGGGGCAGCAGUGGGGAAUAUUGCACAAUGGGGGAAACCCUGAUGCAGCGACGCCGCGUGAGCGAAGAAGUAUUUCGGUAUGUAAAGCUCUAUCAGCAGGGAAGAAAAAUGACGGUACCUGAGUAAGAAGCACCGGCUAAAUACGUGCCAGCAGCCGCGGUAAUACGUAUGGUGCAAGCGUUAUCCGGAUUUACUGGGUGUAAAGGGAGCGUAGACGGUUAAGUAAGUCUGGAGUGAAAGGCCGGGGCCCAACCCCGGGACUGCUCUGGAAACUAUUGAACUUGAGUGCAGGAGAGG
RNAcentral lists this ribosomal RNA (305 nucleotides) under uncultured bacterium. Its description in RNAcentral is "bacterial SSU rRNA". It matches the Rfam family "Bacterial small subunit ribosomal RNA", at positions 335 to 657 of the family's 1533-position model. The record is from RNAcentral.